Molecule: ribosomal RNA, 385 nt
Filed under: uncultured bacterium
Lineage: Bacteria
Description: bacterial SSU rRNA
Rfam family: Bacterial small subunit ribosomal RNA
Source: RNAcentral
AUUGAACGCUGGCGGCAUGCCUUACACAUGCAAGUCGAACGGCAGCACGGGGCAACCUGGUGGCGAGUGGCGAACGGGUGAGUAAUGCAUCGGAACGUGCCAUUGAGUGGGGGAUAACGUAGCGAAAGUUGCGCUAAUACCGCAUAUUCUGUGAGCAGGAAAGCAGGGGGACCGCAAGGCCUUGCGCUCUUUGAGCGGCCGAUGUCAGAUUAGCUAGUUGGUGAGGUAACGGCUUACCAAGGCGACGAUCUGUAGCGGGUCUGAGAGGAUGAUCCGCCACACUGGAACUGAGACACGGUCCAGACUCCUACGGAGGCAGCAGUGGGGAAUUUUGGACAAUGGGCGGCAAGCCUGAUCCAGCCAUGCCGCGUGAGUGAAGAAGGCC